Long non-coding RNA from Drosophila subpulchrella, 368 nucleotides. RefSeq lists it as uncharacterized. NCBI's taxonomy places the organism in Eukaryota, Metazoa, Arthropoda, Insecta, Diptera, Drosophilidae. The record is from RefSeq and is a predicted model, not a curated record. The transcript has 2 exons.
GCUCAGACUUUCCUCGCUUUUCCGUCAGCUGUCGAAGUCAAAUGCAAUUAAAAUCCAUUUGAUUUCAGACUUUUGACAAUUUCCGUUAAUAAAUUAAAAGUAUCAUUGCCAAAAUGGAUGGGAAUGAGCAGGAGAACGUGAGGCAUUUGCCAAUGAGAAGAGUGUCACCUGGUGUUUCUGAACCAAAAAGGAUUCCAGAUGCAUGCCGAAAGCCGAAAAGAGAGUUAUGGAAAUAGAGAGAGGCGCAAAAGAGAGUGACUCACUGAAAAAGGCAAUAUCGACAACGUGGCGUCGCCGAGCGACUGAAAUCAUUAUCUUUAUUUUUGUAAAUACCUUUUUCGAUGACUCAAAGGAGUUUCCAAAACUAA